ACUCAAAUUACCAUCUGCUGUAAGCAAAAAAGAAGAAGUUGAAGAUAGAGAGAAGAAUGAUAGUAGAAGAAGCAAAUCAAAUGGGCAAUCGGUGCAGCGUAGUUUGCUAAGGACACCAUCAUUGCCACCGUGUUUAGGGACGCCAGACCUCAGCUCUGUUUGCCCAAAAGAAUGAAAUUCAUGAUUGAGAGAAAGAGAGAAGAAAGAAGCACAAGAAUAAAGCAGAGAAAAGGAAGAGGGGGACGGGAAGCAAUCAAAAUCGGUCUGGAUAGGCAAAGAAUUCUUUCUGCAUUCCUUGCCUUGGUCAGAUUGAGGGAAAGCAUGUUGGCAUAGGUCGGCUUUGGGUUUAGUCUGUCCAAGAGGGAUUCAAGGGAGGUUUCAUUGAAAUCAAACUUCUUCUGUUUCUUUCUAGAUAAAGGGGUUUAUGAUUGUUAGAUUGGGUUUGUCAUGAACAAGGAGAAGGAAGGUGAUUUUUGGAAUUGCAUUGAGGAAAGCACGAGAGCUGCAGGUAAGAUACUGUUUCCUACAUUAUGUUUCCCCUGUUUUGGUUUCUGAAAUUGCUCUAAUUUCCAUAUGAGUCGGACCUCACUUAAAGUAUUCAAGAGAUAGUGCAAGGUGAAGCGGCAAAUGAUUAGAAUGUUUUCAUUUUGCAUGGCACACAGUAAGUGUUUGAGAUUAGAGAGUGAAAAGUUCGAAAUUUGGGUAAUGUAUAAGACCUGGAUAAGUGAAUGGCUGGCUUUUGUGUUCUAGGCUCAUGCUUCUCGGGGGCUCUUAACUUUUGAUCAUAGUUACUGAUUUGGCAAAGCCUAUCUGAGGCAGGAAG
This is a long non-coding RNA of Rosa chinensis, 823 nucleotides long. RefSeq lists it as uncharacterized. The transcript has 4 exons. The record is from RefSeq and is a predicted model, not a curated record. NCBI's taxonomy places the organism in Eukaryota, Viridiplantae, Streptophyta, Magnoliopsida, Rosales, Rosaceae.